GUGUCAUCCGGCAGAGAAGACGAAGAAUGGUUCUGGGUUUAGACAUCAGUCCUAUAUCCCAUUCUAGUCUCUUAGCAGGUGGUAAACCUGACGGCUUGUCUGAGUCAAAAUCCAAAACUUUUCUUUGACUGCGGGCAUUCAACCUGGUUCCCCUCCUAAUCUGACGAAUUGCUAUACUCUGACAUAAGCACGAAACCUCUCCUGAACAGUUUCAGAGGCUAUAGGGCUGAUAUCAAAGUCCAGGCUUCUCUAUACUGUCCCCUCAACAAACUACCUGUGAUCCAUCCUGAUCUCUAAGCCUGACUACUCUGCCUAUCAAUAGCAGUCCUAUGAGUAGCUAGCCCAUCCACCCCUAGAAUGACGUCAAACAGUCAUUCUAGAACCACUAGGUCAGCUGGAAGGCACCUACUCAAAACUCACACUAAACGCUACUGACAGAUUAACUCUGCCACUGAUGGAUCACAUUUGGGUCUAGUGACUCAAAGAGGACAUUUAAAUCCCAGAAGCUAACAAACCCCUACUCUCUGUGACUCUCAAAGCCCUAAGGAAAGCGAAACAUCAGAGUCUCUAAUAACAGACACAUCAAAAUAUAUGGAAGUGCAAAGUACCUGUCACCGCCAUGUCUGAUGUGUAGGCCUCUUGCUGUGUCAAAGCGAAGAUCCGUGCUGGUACUGAUGGACCUUCAUCUGGGGAACUUGUGGAAGAAGGAGUGAUCUCGCUCCCUCUGCCUCUGCCCAAAGUCAUAGCUAGAGCUCCUAGUUGAGUCACUCUAUCUGAGGCUGUCUGCUGGGACUGUGUUAUCAAAGUCGCGGUGGAACACUCACGUGCUAUGUGCCCCUCCUGUCCGCACCUAAAACAUGCUGUUGUCCCUACUAAACAAACUCCCUUGUGCGGCCUACCGCACCUCGGACAUUUGGAGUUUGUCAAACCAGAGCUCGAUCCCUCACCUAUUCCCAGACCAGACUUGAGCUGCUUCCAGAACUUGUUCUUCUUUGAUCGUCUGAGGCCUCUUCCCCCCUUCUUCCUUUCUCUACCAGCCUCGUGCAGAGGGGAGAGAUUCACAUCACUUGUCCCUGCAAGUUUGGCACUAGCUUCUCUCUUCUGUGCCAUAUCUACUAUAUCAUGGAACCUCUUCCUUGCGCUAUCUGGAAAAGCCCCUUCAGCAAACUCUGUUGCAAACUGCUCCCAGGAUAAGCUUUCUACCCUCGGGUUCACAUACUGGUUGAACCAUGCCCUUGCCUUUUCACAUUUCAAUGUGACCCCUGCCAUCUGAAUGGCGCUACGCUCACUGGCUCCCAACUCCUCAGUUAUCAUCUUGACCCUGCUGAGAUACUCAAAAGGGUCAUCACCAGUCUCAAACUUGGGAACAUCUAACCGCAAAUAGUCUGUCAUCUGUACCCUACUUCCUCCAGGUGAACUAGGCUUAGGUAUUUGGACAACUGGGGUUACUGGUUCUACUGGUGGUGGAGGAUGUGUAACAUUUUCUAGAUUACGGUUGCCUGAACCUGGAUAACCAAAGAAAGGUGGAAACAUAGCAUACUGUGGAUGUAACGGUGGAUAUGGCGGGUAAAAAGAAGGAUAAGGCAUCAAGGUAGGAUAUGGAUGAUAACUAGGAAACUCCGAUGUACCUCUCAUCGGGUACUCUGCCCCCCACUGGUAGGGUGGAUACUGAGGUGGAACAAAUCUCGAGGCCUGAGUGCCUCCUUGAGACUCACCCAUAUCUCCUCCUAACCUGCUCCUGCCAAAGCUACCAUCUCUGCUCUGCACAUCCUCCUCUAGGACUCUCCUAAACCCUGACAUACCACUCUGCACAACUCCCCUUCUACUCUCAUCACUAGACCUUCUAGGGUCCCUUGAUGUACCUUCUCUGCUUAAACUAUCUGCUGUUGCCUUUUGCAGAACUGGGAGAUGAGCAUCCAUGUCCUCAUCCUCCGACGGAGCUCCAGUCAAUCUCGCAGAUCGACGAGUUCCUCUCAUCCUGCCUCUGAAAAUCACAACAUCACACACAAUAUCAUCAAAUGAUCCAUGUGAAAACACAUGAAUCCUUAACACAUAUCAAUCAUAUCAAUAAUGCACAUGCAACUCAUCAUGGCAUUUCACAUCAUCAUGCAAGACAGGACUCCACAUCCUAUCCUAGUGGACAUGAUUGUACCUAUUGUGCUUUCCUUCCUAUACAAGACAACACCUCUUUCCGGUGUGGACUAUCCCAACACACCGUACUCUUGAGGCCCUAUGCUCUGAUACCNNNN
Molecule: long non-coding RNA, 2249 nt
Filed under: Manihot esculenta (cassava)
Lineage: Eukaryota; Viridiplantae; Streptophyta; Magnoliopsida; Malpighiales; Euphorbiaceae
Description: long non-coding RNA (MESC_LNC002898)
Source: RNAcentral